This 491-nucleotide ribosomal RNA is filed under the name uncultured Glomus. Its description in RNAcentral is "SSU rRNA". It matches the Rfam family "Eukaryotic small subunit ribosomal RNA", at positions 601 to 1086 of the family's 1831-position model. The record is from RNAcentral. Lineage: Eukaryota; Fungi; Glomeromycota; Glomeromycetes; Glomerales; Glomeraceae.
AUAUUAAAGUUGUUGCAGUUAAAAAGCUCGUAGUUGAAUUUCGGGAUUGACACAUCGGUCGUGCCUUAAGGGGUAUGAACUGGUGUAGUCAAUUUCUCACCUUCUGGAGAACCGCGAUGUCCUUAAUUGGGUGCCGCGAGGAACCAGGACCUUUACUUUGAAAAAAUUAGAGUGUUUAAAGCAGGCAUUUUUGCUUGAAUACAUUAGCAUGGAAUAAUAAAAUAGGACGGCAUGAUUCUAUUUUGUUGGUUUCUAGGAUCACCGUAAUGAUUAAUAGGGAUAGUUGGGGGCAUUAGUAUUCAAUUGUCAGAGGUGAAAUUCUUGGAUUUAUUGAAGACUAACUACUGCGAAAGCAUUUGCCAAGGAUGUUUUCAUUAAUCAAGAACGAAAGUUAGGGGAUCGAAGACGAUCAGAUACCGUCGUAGUCUUAACCAUAAACUAUGCCGACUAGGAAUCAGACGAUGUUAAUUUUUUAAUGACUCGUUUGGCAC